This 1024-nucleotide ribosomal RNA is filed under the name uncultured Penicillium. RNAcentral describes it as "SSU rRNA". It matches the Rfam family "Eukaryotic small subunit ribosomal RNA", at positions 21 to 1054 of the family's 1831-position model. Lineage: Eukaryota; Fungi; Ascomycota; Eurotiomycetes; Eurotiales; Aspergillaceae. The record is from RNAcentral.
GAUUUAUGCUCGUCUCAAAGAUUAAGCCAUGCAUGUCUAAGUAUAAGCAACUUGUACUGUGAAACUGCGAAUGGCUCAUUAAAUCAGUUAUCGUUUAUUUGAUAGUACCUUACUACAUGGAUACCUGUGGUAAUUCUAGAGCUAAUACAUGCUAAAAACCCCGACUUCAGGAAGGGGUGUAUUUAUUAGAUAAAAAACCAACGCCCUUCGGGGCUCCUUGGUGAAUCAUAAUAACUUAACGAAUCGCAUGGCCUUGCGCCGGCGAUGGUUCAUUCAAAUUUCUGCCCUAUCAACUUUCGAUGGUAGGAUAGUGGCCUACCAUGGUGGCAACGGGUAACGGGGAAUUAGGGUUCGAUUCCGGAGAGGGAGCCUGAGAAACGGCUACCACAUCCAAGGAAGGCAGCAGGCGCGCAAAUUACCCAAUCCCGAUACGGGGAGGUAGUGACAAUAAAUACUGAUACGGGGCUCUUUUGGGUCUCGUAAUUGGAAUGAGAACAAUUUAAAUCCCUUAACGAGGAACAAUUGGAGGGCAAGUCUGGUGCCAGCAGCCGCGGUAAUUCCAGCUCCAAUAGCGUAUAUUAAAGUUGUUGCAGUUAAAAAGCUCGUAGUUGAACCUUGGGUCUGGCUGGCCGGUCCGCCUCACCGCGAGUACUGGUCCGGCUGGACCUUUCCUUCUGGGGAACCUCAUGGCCUUCACUGGCUGUGGGGGGAACCAGGACUUUUACUGUGAAAAAAUUAGAGUGUUCAAAGCAGGCCUUUGCUCGAAUACAUUAGCAUGGAAUAAUAGAAUAGGACGUGUGGUUCUAUUUUGUUGGUUUCUAGGACCGCCGUAAUGAUUAAUAGGGAUAGUCGGGGGGCGUCAGUAUUCAGCUGUCAGAGGUGAAAUUCUUGGAUUUGCUGAAGACUAACUACUGCGAAAGCAUUCGCCAAGGAUGUUUUCAUUAAUCAGGGAACGAAAGUUAGGGGAUCGAAGACGAUCAGAUACCGUCGUAGUCUUAACCAUAAACUAUGCCGACUAGGGAUC